RNAcentral lists this ribosomal RNA (771 nucleotides) under Triticum aestivum (bread wheat). Its description in RNAcentral is "partial small subunit ribosomal RNA". The record is from RNAcentral. Lineage: Eukaryota; Viridiplantae; Streptophyta; Magnoliopsida; Poales; Poaceae.
AUGAUCCGCAUUGCGCAAGUAGACAAGAUCCAAGAGCGCGGGUCAACAUCUCCUACUAGAUCGAUGGCAGGAAAUGGUCAAAUGGAUGCCCAAGAUUCACAGAACACGAGGCUGGAGAUUGACAUUGGCGACGACAAGACCAUGACCAUCGAGAUCACUCUUAGAGGGAGGCUCACUCUGCAGAGCACGGAUCCACCUCGAGCUGUCGUACAUGCAGAAGAAGAGGGCAGGGCAUUACCGGACAGAGCCGUUGAAGAGCAGGAGUCUCUGGACAAGAAGAAUUACAAGAUGCGCGGAUACUUGAUGGUGGUGUGCACCCUCUUCAUCGCCAUAGCGUUUCAGGCGGCGAUGCAGCCGCCGAGCUGGAUCCCCAACGACUGGUAUCGGGUGUACAAGCGUGGCCCUUCACCGGCGCCGGAUACCAGCACCACCACCACGUACGCGCAAGCUCGUCGGGCGAGGGACUACAUGUUGCUCAGCGCGGUGAAUUUCGCAAUACCGGUGGUGCUGGUGUCGGUGUUGUUGCUGAAGAGAAUCCCAGCGACCCAUUUGAUACAAACGGUGAUGCAACAGCUGCCGAUCCUCUGCUUCCCAGUCGCCUGGGCCUUUGUCGUUGGCAGCGCGAGCGAUCCGGGCUAUACAUGGUACUUUUAUCUCACCAUUUUAAUUUACGGCGCAUGUACGGCUCUUCAUUUGUUGGCCCUGCGGGGACGCGAUCUUCGACUCCGUCGGCAAAUGGCAGAGGCAGACGACCCGUCUCUCCUGGCUUGA